AAGUCGUAACAAGGUUUCCGUAGGUGAACCUGCGGAAGGAUCAUUAACACGUAUCCAACGUUAAACAACCCUGUGAACCUUGAACGUGCUCCUGCAGCCCCAUGAAAUCAGCAAUCCCUGGUAAAUCAUUGUUGACCAGCUUUUGAGUCAGGGACCUCUGCCGAAACGGCUGUUCAGUACCGAGCGCGGACAGUGUCUGAAAGUGUCAUUGAUUGUGUAAGGAUGGCGCAGUAAACGAUUGCUAGAGGCCCACACGGCCGGCAACCGGGUCCCAGGGCUCACGCCCCUUUAUCACCCCACAGUUUCCGACUGGGCAGCCGAUAAUACGGACGCCGUAAAAAACUGAACAACUGCAUUAACAAUGGAUAUCUUGGUUCUC
Molecule: unclassified non-coding RNA, 379 nt
Filed under: fungal sp.
Lineage: Eukaryota; Fungi
Description: partial internal transcribed spacer region
Rfam family: Eukaryotic small subunit ribosomal RNA (bases 1-46)
Source: RNAcentral